RNAcentral lists this ribosomal RNA (468 nucleotides) under uncultured bacterium. Its description in RNAcentral is "bacterial SSU rRNA". It matches the Rfam family "Bacterial small subunit ribosomal RNA", at positions 50 to 518 of the family's 1533-position model. The record is from RNAcentral.
AACACAUGCAAGUCGAACGGGACUGUUCGGACUGAUUUUCGGAAUGACGUUCGUGCAGUUAGUGGCGGACGGGUGAGGUAACGCGUGGGUAACCUGCCUCACACAGGGGGACAACAGUUGGAAACGACUGCUAAUACCGCAUAAGCGCACGGUAUCGCAUGGUACAGUGUGAAAAACUCCGGUGGUGUGAGAUGGACCCGCGUCUGAUUAGCUGGUUGGUGAGGUAACGGCCCACCAAGGCGACGAUCAGUAGCCGGCCUGAGAGGGUGAACGGCCACAUUGGGACUGAGACACGGCCCAAACUCCUACGGGAGGCAGCAGUGGGGAAUAUUGCACAAUGGGGGGAACCCUGAUGCAGCGACGCCGCGUGAGUGAUGAAGUAUUUCGGUAUGUAAAGCUCUAUCAGCAGGGAAGAAGAAGGACGGUACCUGACUAAGAAGCCCCGGCUAACUACGUGCCAGCCGCGGC